AAAUGAAUAGACGGGGGCCCGCACAAGCGGAGGAACAUGUGGUUUAAUUCGAUGAUACGCGAGGAACCUUACCCGGGCUUAAAUUAUAGGUGCAUAGAGCAGAGAUGUUCUUUUCUUCGGACUCCUAUAAAGGUGCUGCAUGGUUGUCGUCAGCUCGUGCCGUGAGGUGUCGGCUUAAGUGCCAUAACGAGCGCAACCCUUAUCAUUAGUUACUAACAGGUCAUGCUGAGGACUCUAGUGAGACUGCCGUCGUAAGAUGUGAGGAAGGUUGGGAUGACGUCAAAUCAGCACGGCCCUUACGUCCGGGGCUACACACGUGUUACAAUGGGGGGUACAGAGGGCAGCUACCUGGCGACAGGAUGCUAAUCUCCUAAAACCUCUCUCAGUUCGGAUUGAAGUCUGUAACUCGACUUCAUGAAGCUGGAUUCGCUAGUAAUCGCGCAUCAGCCAUGGCGCGGUGAAUACGUUCCCGGGCCUUGUACACACCGCCCGU
RNAcentral lists this ribosomal RNA (493 nucleotides) under uncultured bacterium. Its description in RNAcentral is "bacterial SSU rRNA". It matches the Rfam family "Bacterial small subunit ribosomal RNA", at positions 903 to 1397 of the family's 1533-position model. The record is from RNAcentral.